Strongylocentrotus purpuratus (purple sea urchin) is the source of this 61-nucleotide non-coding RNA. The record is from Rfam. NCBI's taxonomy places the organism in Eukaryota, Metazoa, Echinodermata, Echinoidea, Camarodonta, Strongylocentrotidae.
GGGGGUAAAGCUCAGUGGUAGAGCAUUCGAGAGGUCUUUGGUUCAAAUCCGGGUGCCCCCU